Molecule: ribosomal RNA, 461 nt
Filed under: uncultured bacterium
Lineage: Bacteria
Description: partial 16S ribosomal RNA
Rfam family: Bacterial small subunit ribosomal RNA
Source: RNAcentral
CCUACGGGUGGCAGCAGUGAGGAAUAUUGGUCAAUGGGCUUACGCCUGAACCAGCCAAGUCGCGUGAGGGAAGACUGCCCUAUGGGUUGUAAACCUCUUUUGUCAGGGAGCAAUUGGCGCUACGUGUAGCGGUAUCGAGAGUACCUGAAGAAAAAGCAUCGGCUAACUCCGUGCCAGCAGCCGCGGUAAUACGGAGGAUGCGAGCGUUAUCCGGAUUUACUGGGUGGAAAGGGCGUGUAGCCGGGAAGGCAAGUCAGAUGUGAAAUCCGGAGGCUCAACCUCCGAAUUGCAUUUGAAACUGUUUGUCUUGAGUACUGGAGAGGCAGACGGAAUUCCUUGUGUAGCGGUGAAAUGCGUAGAUAUAAGGAGGAACACCAGUGGCGAAGGCGGUCUGCUGGACAGCAACUGACGGUGAGGCGCGAAAGCGUGGGGAGCAAACAGUAUUAGAUACCCGGGUAGUC